RNAcentral lists this ribosomal RNA (244 nucleotides) under Nonomuraea pusilla. RNAcentral describes it as "16S rRNA. Bacterial SSU". It matches the Rfam family "Bacterial small subunit ribosomal RNA", at positions 1 to 247 of the family's 1533-position model. The record is from RNAcentral. Lineage: Bacteria; Bacillati; Actinomycetota; Actinomycetes; Streptosporangiales; Streptosporangiaceae.
AUUGUUUGGAGAGUUUGAUCCUGGCUCAGGACGAACGCUGGCGGCGUGCUUAACACAUGCAAGUCGAGCGGAAAGGCCCUUCGGGGUACUCGAGCGGCGAACGGGUGAGUAACACGUGAGUAACCUGCCCCUGACUCUGGGAUAAGCCCGGGAAACUGGGUCUAAUACCGGAUACGACCACUCCAGGCAUCUGGUGGUGGUGGAAAGAACUUUGGUCAGGGAUGGGCUCGCGGCCUAUCAGCUU